This is a non-coding RNA of Alternaria infectoria, 89 nucleotides long. NCBI's taxonomy places the organism in Eukaryota, Fungi, Ascomycota, Dothideomycetes, Pleosporales, Pleosporaceae. The record is from the annotation of a RefSeq genome assembly.
GCAUUCUUGGUCCAACGGUAGGAUAAUUGCCUUCCAAGCAAUUGGCCCGGGUUCGAGUACGUUCUAUUCCACAUCCCACCUCACCAACA